Megalobrama amblycephala (Wuchang bream) is the source of this 291-nucleotide long non-coding RNA. RefSeq lists it as uncharacterized. NCBI's taxonomy places the organism in Eukaryota, Metazoa, Chordata, Actinopteri, Cypriniformes, Xenocyprididae. The record is from RefSeq and is a predicted model, not a curated record. The transcript has 3 exons.
AAAACCUUAAUUUCUUUUCGACUGAAGAAAGAAAGACAUGAACAUCUUGGAUGACAUGGGGAUAUUAGUGGUUUGGAUUCAUCUGACUGCUGUUCCUCCAGUGGCUGGACUUCCAGGGACUCUGGAGUCAACUGGCACUAUGGAAGACAAAAAAACAAGAAUAAUGGACAGUGUUGGUGGUGGAGGGAGUGGGGUCAUGUCAUCCUCAUCCUGACAUAAAGCCAGAUCGUCACGACCAGAUUCAACUUCAAUGACGGAGGAUGCCAGAGUACUGGUACUGCCUGAAGAGCC